Molecule: long non-coding RNA, 306 nt
Organism: Danio aesculapii
Lineage: Eukaryota; Metazoa; Chordata; Actinopteri; Cypriniformes; Danionidae
Exons: 3
Source: RefSeq, a predicted model, not a curated record
GAAUGCAAGGAACCAGGAAGGUGCUGGAACCACACUUGGGGAAGAAGUGGAGCAAGUAAAUAGUUUUCUAUCCAGAUGUGCCCUGACCACAAAAUAUAUGACCAAGUCAGUAAGAACUGAUAUGCUUACGGUCCAUGCAAUUGGGUGGAAUCAGCGUAAAGAGAAUGGACUGCACAUUGCCUUGUCUUCUAGAUUUAAAAAGACAGUGCAAAAGACCUUGACUGCAACAGAGAAUCUGAAGAUGAUGCAGAAUCAUUUCCAUUGUAGUGAUGACACAGUAAAACAGUGGGUUAUUGAUGUCAAGCA